RNAcentral lists this ribosomal RNA (309 nucleotides) under uncultured eukaryote. RNAcentral's name for it is "SSU rRNA". It matches the Rfam family "Eukaryotic small subunit ribosomal RNA", at positions 111 to 414 of the family's 1831-position model. The record is from RNAcentral.
AAUUAUUUAUUUGAUGGUUUCUUACUACAUGGAUAACCGUAGUAAUUCUAGAGCUAAUACAUGCGUUAAAGUCCCGACUCUCGCGGGGAGGGAUGUAUUUAUUAGAUUAAAAACCAAUGCGGCCUCUGGCCGGUUUUGUGUUGAUUCAUAGUAACUUUUCGGAUCGCAGGGCUUCACGCCGGCGACAGUUCAUUCAAAUUUCUGCCCUAUCAGCUUUCGACGGUAGUGUAGUGGACUACCGUGGCAUUUACGGGUGACGGAGAAUUAGGGUUCGAUUCCGGAGAGGGAGCCUGAGAAACGGCUACCACA